This 1188-nucleotide long non-coding RNA is filed under the name Equus asinus (donkey). Its description in RNAcentral is "lncRNA (ENSEASG00005026597.1)". The record is from RNAcentral. Lineage: Eukaryota; Metazoa; Chordata; Mammalia; Perissodactyla; Equidae.
CCUUCCACACCUUUUUUAGCAGCAGCACAAUUUAUAUGGUUGCUCAAACUAAUUUAUCUUCAGAAUCAUCUUAUCUCCGAUUCUUCAAUUUCCUUCACCCCUCACCAUCUGCUUGGUCCCCGUCAAAUUUCUCUCCUAAGAUGUCUCACACCUAUUUCUUCCUUUAAGCCCACUGCCCCAGUCCCCUUAUCCUGUCUCAUCUAUUCUAUCACGACAGUCUCACUACAGUCUUCCUACCUAUAAGUUCUUCCCCUUCCAGACUACAAUCUUCCAGGCUAGGGUAAUCUUCCUGAAUUAUUAAUCUGAUCAUGGUACAAGCUCAUGUAUAAACCUCUCUUGACUCUCUGCAUCCGACAGGGUGGACGCCAAAUCCUUCACCCGGCCUUCACCGUCCAGCCCGGCUCUGACUGCUUUGCUGGUUUUAUCCCGUGUCAACCUACCUAUGGCUGCACCGAGAGACCUGAUCUUUAUCUUCUGAACUAUUAGGAUGUCCUUCCCGGCUCCUGCCAACUAGCUAAAUCACUUGCGCUGGGGAAGUCAGUGGCCAUGUGGUGCCUUAAGGAGACUCAAGCAGCCCUAUGGAGAUGCCACAUGACGAAGAACUAAGGCCUCCUGCCAAAAGCCAGCAUCCACUUGCCAGUCAUGUGAGUGAGUCAUCUUGGAAACAGCUCCUCCAGCCUCAGUCAAGCUUCAGAGGCAUCCCUGGAUGACACCUUGACUGCAACCUGCAGGACCACCCGGCUGAGCAGCACCCAAAUUCCUGACCCCCAAAAAUUGUGACCACCCCCUCGAAGGUGACGUGCAUCGUUUGUGGAGACCCUUUGUACACCUGAAAACCCCCUCACAGGCACCAAAGGUUUCAAUAUUUUCCUGUGUCUUUUAGAAGAAAAAAAGACAGCAAUAAUGAAUUGUCUGUGGACAGUUGUUCUCAAGUAAGCCUUCCCGGGAUCUGCAAGCAUCUUUCCAAGAGAGACCAGGUUCACAUCGUUGCAACAGUGAGGCUCGCAAAGCUCCCGUGAGAAGCUGUUCACAUGAACUGUGCCACCUUCUGACUGAUGUUGCUAAUAAAGAACAGAGGAGAAUCUGCCUGUCAAACUUGCCUCAAAGGAGGUCAUUGAGUUGUGAUUGGAUAUAUUAUAUAUUAUACAAUAAUUUAUUUUGACCCUAGGAGAGGUUCAUUUGAAAAAG